CUCCGCCCCUGCCUGAUCCCGCCCCCACCCCUGCUCUCCCCUUCUGGGUUUAUGCAGACACACUAGAGAACAGGGCUGCCCCAGUUUUGGAUUCUGAUCUAUCAUUUAUUAGCUGGGUGACACUGAGCAAAUGUCUUAACAUCUCUGUGCCUCGGGCUCUCCCUGGCAGCAGUUCAGGGGUGGUGAUUGAGUAGUCUGCCAGGCUGCAGGGGAGAAUAAAUGAGCCCAGGCUUCUCAAACUCCAGAUGUUAGUAAUGAAAUCCAGCACCACCCUGCGAAAGACUCCUCCUGCCUGCUUUCUGGGGUUUCACAAUCGGCAUCAAGACUCCCCAGCCAGACUUAGAGCACGUCACCAUCUUACUUCCCCACACCCUCCGUCAUAGAUGCCACCUCAUCGGUCCAGCAACUGGCAUUUUAUAACAUCCAAAUAUCCAGAUUGAGAAACUGAGGCUCCAGAGCAGGAAGUGGCUUAUCCGAACACCCCCGGAGCACACAGAUGCAGGAAGUCAGAGCCUCAGCCCAGCUGCCAGGCUUUUUCUGCUAAACUGCUCCCACCUGUGAGAUUCCAGAAGCUUGAAAAAGAAAUUCCUUCCCCAGAGACCAGCUCUAAGCCCAGGGGAGUCAUAAUAAAGAUGAAGAAAAAAAGCU
Long non-coding RNA from Rattus norvegicus (Norway rat), 648 nucleotides. NCBI's taxonomy places the organism in Eukaryota, Metazoa, Chordata, Mammalia, Rodentia, Muridae. The record is from Ensembl.